RNAcentral lists this ribosomal RNA (460 nucleotides) under uncultured bacterium. Its description in RNAcentral is "partial 16S ribosomal RNA". It matches the Rfam family "Bacterial small subunit ribosomal RNA", at positions 338 to 795 of the family's 1533-position model. The record is from RNAcentral.
CCUACGGGUGGCAGCAGUGAGGAAUAUUGGUCAAUGGACGAGAGUCUGAACCAGCCAAGUAGCGUGAAGGAUGACUGCCCUAUGGGUUGUAAACUUCUUUUAUAUGGGAAUAAAACGUUCCACGUGUGGGAUUUUGUAUGUACCAUAUGAAUAAGGAUCGGCUAACUCCGUGCCAGCAGCCGCGGUAAUACGGAGGAUCCGAGCGUUAUCCGGAUUUAUUGGGUUUAAAGGGAGCGUAGGUGGAUUGUUAAGUCAGUUGUGAAAGUUUGCGGCUCAACCGUAAAAUUGCAGUUGAAACUGGCAGUCUUGAGUACAGUAGAGGUGGGCGGAAUUCGUGGUGUAGCGGUGAAAUGCUGAGAUAUCACGAAGAACUCCGAUUGCGAAGGCAGUUCACUGGACUGCAACUGACACUGAGGCUCGAAAGUGUGGGUAUCAAACAGGAUUAGAUACCCCUGUAGUC